GGGUCCUACGGGGGGCAGCAGUGAGGAAUAUUGGUCAAUGGGAGGAAUCCUGAAUCAGCCAUGCCGCGUGCAGGACGACGGCUCUACGAGUUGUAAACUGCUUUUGUACCGGGGUAAAAUGCUCUACGAGUAGGGUUUUGAAAGUACGGUACGAAUAAGGAUCGGCUAACUCCGUGCCAGCAGCCGCGGUAAUACGGAGGAUCCGAGCGUUAUCCGGAUUCAUUGGGUUUAAAGAGUGCGUAGGUUGUUUUAUAAGUUAGCGGUGAAAUACCGAUGCUCACCAUCGGGGCUGCCGCUGAUACUGU
This 305-nucleotide ribosomal RNA is filed under the name uncultured bacterium. RNAcentral describes it as "bacterial SSU rRNA". It matches the Rfam family "Bacterial small subunit ribosomal RNA", at positions 334 to 636 of the family's 1533-position model. The record is from RNAcentral.